This 1870-nucleotide ribosomal RNA is filed under the name Salmonella enterica subsp. enterica serovar Anatum. RNAcentral describes it as "partial 23S ribosomal RNA". It matches the Rfam family "Bacterial large subunit ribosomal RNA", at positions 454 to 2307 of the family's 2925-position model. Lineage: Bacteria; Pseudomonadati; Pseudomonadota; Gammaproteobacteria; Enterobacterales; Enterobacteriaceae. The record is from RNAcentral.
CAUCCUCCAAGGCUAAAUACUCCUGACUGACCGAUAGUGAACCAGUACCGUGAGGGAAAGGCGAAAAGAACCCCGGCGAGGGGAGUGAAAAAGAACCUGAAACCGUGUACGUACAAGCAGUGGGAGCACAGGUUUACCUGUGUGACUGCGUACCUUUUGUAUAAUGGGUCAGCGACUUAUAUUCUGUAGCAAGGUUAACCGAAUAGGGGAGCCGGAGGGAAACCGAGUCUUAAUUGGGCGUUAAGUUGCAGGGUAUAGACCCGAAACCCGGUGAUCUAGCCAUGGGCAGGUUGAAGGUUGGGUAACACUAACUGGAGGACCGAACCGACUAAUGUUGAAAAAUUAGCGGAUGACCUGUGGCUGGGGGUGAAAGGCCAAUCAAACCGGGAGAUAGCUGGUUCUCCCCGAAAGCUAUUUAGGUAGCGCCUCGUGAAUUCAUCUCCGGGGGUAGAGCACUGUUUCGGCUAGGGGGCCAUCCCGGCUUACCAACCCGAUGCAAACUGCGAAUACCGGAGAAUGUUAUCACGGGAGACACACGGCGGGUGCUAACGUCCGUCGUGAAGAGGGAAACAACCCAGACCGCCAGCUAAGGUCCCAAAGUCAUGGUUAAGUGGGAAACGAUGUGGGAAGGCCCAGACAGCCAGGAUGUUGGCUUAGAAGCAGCCAUCAUUUAAAGAAAGCGUAAUAGCUCACUGGUCGAGUCGGCCUGCGCGGAAGAUGUAACGGGGCUAAACCAUGCACCGAAGCUGCGGCAGCGACACUCAGGUGUUGUUGGGUAGGGGAGCGUUCUGUAAGCCUGUGAAGGUGGCCUGUGAGGGUUGCUGGAGGUAUCAGAAGUGCGAAUGCUGACAUAAGUAACGAUAAAGCGGGUGAAAAGCCCGCUCGCCGGAAGACCAAGGGUUCCUGUCCAACGUUAAUCGGGGCAGGGUGAGUCGACCCCUAAGGCGAGGCCGAAAGGCGUAGUCGAUGGGAAACGGGUUAAUAUUCCCGUACUUGGUGUUACUGCGAAGGGGGGACGGAGAAGGCUAUGUUGGCCGGGCGACGGUUGUCCCGGUUUAAGCGUGUAGGCUGGUUUUCCAGGCAAAUCCGGAAAAUCAAGGCUGAGGCGUGACGACGAGGCACUACGGUGCUGAAGCAACAAAUGCCCUGCUUCCAGGAAAAGCCUCUAAGCAUCAGGUAACAUCAAAUCGUACCCCAAACCGACACAGGUGGUCAGGUAGAGAAUACCAAGGCGCUUGAGAGAACUCGGGUGAAGGAACUAGGCAAAAUGGUGCCGUAACUUCGGGAGAAGGCACGCUGACACGUAGGUGAAGUGAUUUACUCAUGGAGCUGAAGUCAGUCGAAGAUACCAGCUGGCUGCAACUGUUUAUUAAAAACACAGCACUGUGCAAACACGAAAGUGGACGUAUACGGUGUGACGCCUGCCCGGUGCCGGAAGGUUAAUUGAUGGGGUCAGCGCAAGCGAAGCUCCUGAUCGAAGCCCCGGUAAACGGCGGCCGUAACUAUAACGGUCCUAAGGUAGCGAAAUUCCUUGUCGGGUAAGUUCCGACCUGCACGAAUGGCGUAAUGAUGGCCAGGCUGUCUCCACCCGAGACUCAGUGAAAUUGAACUCGCUGUGAAGAUGCAGUGUACCCGCGGCAAGACGGAAAGACCCCGUGAACCUUUACUAUAGCUUGACACUGAACAUUGAGCCUUGAUGUGUAGGAUAGGUGGGAGGCUUUGAAGCGUGGACGCCAGUCUGCGUGGAGCCGACCUUGAAAUACCACCCUUUAAUGUUUGAUGUUCUAACGUGGACCCGUGAUCCGGGUUGCGGACAGUGUCUGGUGGGUAGUUUGACUGGGGCGGUCUCCUCCUAAAGAGUAACGGAGGA